Molecule: long non-coding RNA, 309 nt
Filed under: Mytilus galloprovincialis (Mediterranean mussel)
Lineage: Eukaryota; Metazoa; Mollusca; Bivalvia; Mytilida; Mytilidae
Source: RNAcentral
AAUAUAUUAUAAAUUAGUGCCUAUAAAUAGUAACACAUGACAUACAAAUAUAUGGGAGUGUGGAUUAAUCAGUACAGAGAUUAUUUACUCUUAGAUUGUUCUUGAAUAAAUAUUUCAUUGAUUAGAUUUUGUUUUCUUGAACUCGUGUACUUUAAGCAGAUUACUUUAAAUUGUAAUUACUUAAAUUAUUAUUUUGAAUAACUAAGAUUUUUAUUAAGAAUUACUUAAAAUUAUUACUAAGAAUUACUAAAAAUUAUUACUAAGAAUUACUUAAAAUUAUUACUAUGAAUUACUUAAAAUUAUUACUAA